GAUGAACGCUAGCGGCAGGCUUAACACAUGCAAGUCGAGGGGUAUGCCGAUUUAUCGGCAGAGACCGGCGCACGGGUGCGUAACGCGUAUGCAAUCUACCUUUCACAGAGGGAUAGCCCAGAGAAAUUUGGAUUAAUACCUCAUAGUAUAGCAAUUUCGCAUGAAACCACUAUUAAAAGUUCCAACGGUGAAAGAUGAGCAUGCGUCCCAUUAGCUAGAUGGUAAGGUAACGGCUUACCAUGGCUACGAUGGGUAGGGUCCUGAGAGGGAGAUCCCCCACACUGGUACUGAGACACGGACCAGACUCCUACGGGAGGCAGCAGUGAGGAAUAUUGGUACAAUGGACGCAAGUCUGAACCAGCCAUGCCGCGUGCCAGGAUGACGGUCUAUGGAUUGUAAACUGCUUUUGUACGAGAAGAAA
This 421-nucleotide ribosomal RNA is filed under the name uncultured bacterium. RNAcentral describes it as "bacterial SSU rRNA". It matches the Rfam family "Bacterial small subunit ribosomal RNA", at positions 28 to 450 of the family's 1533-position model. The record is from RNAcentral.